UGUGAACAUACCUCACUGUUGCUUCGGCGGGAUUGCCCCGGGCGCCUCGUGUGCCCCGGAUCAGGCGCCCGCCUAGGAAACUUAAUUCUUGUUUUAUUUUGGAAUCUUCUGAGUAGUUUUUACAAAUAAAUAAAAACUUUCAACAACGGAUCUCUUGGUUCUGGCAUCAAUGAAGAACGCAGCGAAAUGCGAUGAGUAAUGUGAAUUGCAGAAUUCAAUGAAUCGUCUAAUCUUUGAACGCACAUUGCGCCCGCCAGUAUUCUGGCGGGGAUGCCUGUCUGAGCGUCAUUUCAACCCUCAUGCCCCUAGGGCGUGGUGUUGGGGAUCGGCCAAAGCCCGCGAGGGACGGCCGGCCCCUAAAUCUAGUGGCGGACCCGUCGUGUCCUCCUCUGCGAAGUAGUGAUAUUCCGCAUCGGAGAGCGACGAGCCCCUGCCGUUAAACCCCCAACUUUCCAAGGUUGACCUCAGAUCAGGUAGGAAUACCCGCUGA
Molecule: ribosomal RNA, 490 nt
Filed under: Fusarium cerealis
Lineage: Eukaryota; Fungi; Ascomycota; Sordariomycetes; Hypocreales; Nectriaceae
Description: eukaryotic LSU rRNA
Rfam family: 5.8S ribosomal RNA (bases 135-288)
Source: RNAcentral